Molecule: ribosomal RNA, 232 nt
Filed under: Liophloeus tessulatus
Lineage: Eukaryota; Metazoa; Arthropoda; Insecta; Coleoptera; Curculionidae
Description: partial large subunit ribosomal RNA
Rfam family: Bacterial large subunit ribosomal RNA (bases 1-159)
Source: RNAcentral
UAGUUUUUUUGAGAGUUCUUAUUGAAAGAAAAGAUUGCGACCUCGAUGUUGGAUUAAAAUUAAAUUUUGGUGUAGAAGCUAGAGUAUUUAGGUCUGUUCGACCUUUAAAAUUUUACAUGAUCUGAGUUUAAACCGGUGUAAGCCAGGUUGGUUUCUAUCUCUAUUUAUUUAUAAUAUUUUAGUACGAAAGGACCAAAUAUUAAAUUUAAAAUUUUAUUUAUGAAUUAUAUUA